CACAAUUUUGAUCAGGGUGAUAAAACCAGGAGAUAGGAUUGACAAGAUUUGGCUAUACUGGUUGCAAAUGACCAGCAUUCUUCAAUCUUUCAAACAAUUGGGUGCAACUUUCAGCUAGUGGGGUGAAGUUUCGGGGAGGUUUCUUUUGGUGGUUUGGACGCUGGGGGUUAUACAGGCUUAGGUUUGUAGGUGGGGGUACUUGGUGGUAAUUUG
RNAcentral lists this long non-coding RNA (213 nucleotides) under Capsicum annuum. Its description in RNAcentral is "long non-coding RNA (CANN_LNC022240)". The record is from RNAcentral. Lineage: Eukaryota; Viridiplantae; Streptophyta; Magnoliopsida; Solanales; Solanaceae.